Dermacentor andersoni is the source of this 2189-nucleotide long non-coding RNA. RefSeq lists it as uncharacterized. Lineage: Eukaryota; Metazoa; Arthropoda; Arachnida; Ixodida; Ixodidae. The record is from RefSeq and is a predicted model, not a curated record.
CCUCAAUGCGCGACUUUCUACAAUGGCAUUGAUGAAUCUGCACAAAUAAAAAAUAAAUCGCUCGUCGCUCAUAACAUUGGUUCAUACUUCGAAUAAAUAUAAAUGCUGUGCCGCACAUAUAGAUAUAUUUUACCGAGGAUACCAAGGCAGAGCAACUAAAAGCCGUGUAUACCGCAUGAAAACUGCGAGAAAGUGGCUUUUCUGUAAAUGUUUUCAAAGCACAUAAACAACCAACGCAGUGAACAUUUCCGGUACACGUCACCACAAAGUGGCCCUCAGUUUUUGAAAAUACGAAAUAUCUGUAAUUUAUUCCUGCUGGGAAACAAGUAAUAGUCUUGCUCCUAUUUAGAAAGAGCCUGAAAACGAUAUCGCCAAAUCGGAAGUCAAACGUGCGCUUAGAAAAAAUUCGAGUCAGUGUUCUAUCGGUAUUGUAAUGGAUUUGCACGUUCGACCAAGGUAACUUUCAGGAGCAUAUCUACGAUAAGUCGUGAUUAUAGAAUAAAAUUAGACAGUUAUACCUGCAAGAGAUUUCAUUCUAUUUUUGAUUGUGCUAAGAUACUGAGACUGUCACGCUAUGUAGGCUAUCUCUGGACAGAAAUUAAAUAGUUCCAGCAAUUGAUAAUCAAAUGGUUUCAUGCCCUAAGGCACGCUAUUCAUUGGGCCCGGCUGAUUAUAUUUUAAGCGGACCUUCCACUCGCCCACAGGUUAACUCUAGGAAGCUGAUUGUGUUUUUAAAUGCGGAUAUAUAGUGGUCUGAAAAAACUGGGCAUAAUGCAAGUUGUGCAAGCUGACAUAUUAGAGCGGGUACUGCCCAGCACCAGGCGUUUCGCAACGCGAGUAUGUGUGGCGAAUGCUGUGCAUCGUCUGGUGCAGGGAGUCCUGAGAAGGCACAAAAGGCAAACCUCGCUGUCCAAGCAGGGGAUGCGUAGCAAGGAAAAUCACUACUUAUGUGGACACUCUAUUAAGAAAGAAAAUUUUCCUUGAGCUGUAGUUCUGUGGCAGUUUUCAGCAUGCAGCCGAAAGUGCUCGCUUUCAGGGGCGAGGGUGGGGGAGGCAACUGACAAACUUUGCCCCUCCCCUCAGGCUCCCGGUAGAUACGCCUAUCUUCCAUGCCUUCCAUAUAAUUGAGCCUUCAUUCGGAUAUACCACAUUGUUAUGUACAGCCUAAGACAUGGCCCGGAAUCCAAGCAAUGCAAGCCUACACAGGAAGGCAUGGGCUACUCGCCGCACCGAAUAAACCAUUUUCUAGCUUUGCAGUUUGCAUUAACAAUAACACAGUUAUUUCUGUUUCAUAUAGAAAACAAAAAUUGCAGGAUAAAAGCAAAUGCCAUGUUUUACAAGUUAGAACAGCAUGAUAAUUCAUGAACAAGUGCGUAAUUGGUAAAGACACGUCUAAAAAAAUUAUGAACACUUGUGUGUAGCAUGGGAGCGCUGAUAAUUUUCUUUAUGUUGCAGGGCACAGCAGUAUAGGCAUUGCUGAGUUGGCAGUUGGACCAGACGGACUCACAUUUUGGAAGGCUGUUAAUGUAUAGCCAUACGCGCUGGAAUUGCAGGAAGUUGGACGACGCCACCGUUUCCCACGAUCUCCUCGUGCUUGGACCACUGGGGAAGCAGGGAAGGCUGGGUGGCCACGCUGGUUGCCAGGGGGCUAACCCGGUUGCUGCUUUGGUUUUGGGCCUCUGUAAUCUACCGAACGCAGCAGCCGGCAAUACCUCAGCCAGCACAGGCCAUCUACGGGUGGUGCUACAUGAUUACGGCUAACGGCGAUCCGGUGGCGUCCACUGCGCUCGCCUGCUUGCCCGUAUUCGGCCCGUAUUAGUACUCGGAGGCCCAUGCUGUGCUGGCUGCUGUUGUCAUGGUGGUGACGCCGUGCCUCCUUACAGCAGCUACCUACCUCAAGGUCAUGGCAGAGAACGACAAUGGGACCUGGACCACCACGGCAUUAAAUGCGCUUUCCGGUGUCUAUGGCGUGGCCUGCGUUGUGGCCUUAGUGACGGGGGCCUUCAAGGACGCCCUCCCUCCUGAUUGGCAGCUCUUUUGUAGCAAAAUCACAGCCUCCAAGAUCUAGCGGCUGCCACCGAUGUGCUGCCAUCACUGGUCUCUGGGGCUUCAGCAUUCAUUCUAGCCGGAAGGUGGUGCUCUACGGGAAUAGCCAGAGCCAGUACAAGCCACCGCAGUAGUUCAAUAAA